AGAACAACCCCGGGAAACUGGGGCUAACUCUAGAUAGGUGAAGAACUCUGGAAUGAGUCUUUGCCUAAAUAGGUUCACGUUAUCCUCGUGAACUUGCCUAAGGAUGAGGCCGCGACCGAUCAGGUUGUUGGCGAGGUAAUGGCUCACCAAGCCUUUUACCGGUGCGGGCCGUGGGAGCGGGAGCCCGGAGAUGGGUACUGAGACAAGGACCCAGGCCCUACGGGGCGCAGCAGUCGCGAAACCUUUGCAAUACACGAAAGUGUGACAGGGCUAUCCCGAGUGCCAUCCGCUGAGGAAGGCUUUUACCCAGUCUAGAACGCUGGGGGAAUAAGGAGAGGGCAAGUCUGGUGUCAGCCGCCGCGGUAAUACCAGCUCUCCGAGUGGUGUGGAUGUUUAUUGGGCCUAAAGCAUCCGUAGCUGGCUAGGUUUGUCCCUUGUUAAAUCCACCGAAUUAAUCGCUGGAUCGCGGGGGAUACUGCUUGGCUAGGGGACGAGAGAGGCAGACGGUAUUCUCGGGGUAGGGGUGAAAUCCUAUAAUCCCGGGAAGACCACCAGUGGCGAAGGCUGUCUGCUAGAACGCGCCCGACGGUGAGGGAUGAAAGCUGGGGGAGCGAACCGGAUUAGAUACCCGGGUAGUCCCAGCUGUAAACGAUGCAGACUAGGUGUUUGGACGGCCACGUGCCGUUCUAGUGCCGCAGGGAAGCUGUUAAGUCUGCCGCCUGGGGAGUACGAUCGCAA
RNAcentral lists this ribosomal RNA (738 nucleotides) under unidentified archaeon. RNAcentral describes it as "bacterial SSU rRNA". It matches the Rfam family "Archaeal small subunit ribosomal RNA", at positions 123 to 846 of the family's 1478-position model. The record is from RNAcentral.